Molecule: transfer RNA, 64 nt
Filed under: Anthonomus eugenii (pepper weevil)
Lineage: Eukaryota; Metazoa; Arthropoda; Insecta; Coleoptera; Curculionidae
Description: tRNA-Thr
Rfam family: tRNA
About the family: Transfer RNA (tRNA) molecules are approximately 80 nucleotides in length.
Source: RNAcentral
GUUUUAAUAAUUUAAUAAAAAUAUUGGUCUUGUAAACCAAAAAUAAGAAGCUUCUUUUAAAACU